This 749-nucleotide ribosomal RNA is filed under the name uncultured bacterium. Its description in RNAcentral is "bacterial SSU rRNA". It matches the Rfam family "Bacterial small subunit ribosomal RNA", at positions 28 to 772 of the family's 1533-position model. The record is from RNAcentral.
AUUGAACGCUGGCGGCAGGCCUAACACAUGCAAGUCGAGCGGAUGACGGGAGCUUGCUCCUUGAUUCAGCGGCGGACGGGUGAGUAAUGCCUAGGAAUCUGCCUGGUAGUGGGGGACAACGUUUCGAAAGGAACGCUAAUACCGCAUACGUCCUACGGGAGAAAGCAGGGGACCUUCGGGCCUUGCGCUAUCAGAUGAGCCUAGGUCGGAUUAGCUAGUUGGUGGGGUAAUGGCUCACCAAGGCGACGAUCCGUAACUGGUCUGAGAGGAUGAUCAGUCACACUGGAACUGAGACACGGUCCAGACUCCUACGGGAGGCAGCAGUGGGGAAUAUUGGACAAUGGGCGAAAGCCUGAUCCAGCCAUGCCGCGUGUGUGAAGAAGGUCUUCGGAUUGUAAAGCACUUUAAGUUGGGAGGAAGGGCAGUAAGUUAAUACCUUGCUGCUUUGACGUUACCGACAGAAUAAGCACCGGCUAACUCUGUGCCAGCAGCCGCGGUAAUACAGAGGGUGCAAGCGUUAAUCGGAAUUACUGGGCGUAAAGCGCGCGUAGGUGGUUUGUUAAGUUGGAUGUGAAAGCCCCGGGCUCAACCUGGGAACUGCAUCCAAAACUGGCAAGCUAGAGUACGGUAGAGGGUGGUGGAAUUUCCUGUGUAGCGGUGAAAUGCGUAGAUAUAGGAAGGAACACCAGUGGCGAAGGCGACCACCUGGACUGAUACUGACACUGAGGUGCGAAAGCGUGGGGAGCAAA